RNAcentral lists this long non-coding RNA (2202 nucleotides) under Nicotiana tabacum (common tobacco). Its description in RNAcentral is "long non-coding RNA (NTAB_LNC013333)". Lineage: Eukaryota; Viridiplantae; Streptophyta; Magnoliopsida; Solanales; Solanaceae. The record is from RNAcentral.
UCAAUGUUUAUCCAGUGAUUAUCCCACAUAUUCCAGUGAUGGAGAUGGCUGCACUUCUAGCAAUUUCUUUUAUGAUUGGGCCCUAUUGAGCCAUGAUAUAAGUGCAACACCAGCUCCUCACUUUGUUGGUGCCUCCGUUUACCCUCAAUCUACUGAUCCUUCUGCUGUAGCGACUCUCAAGUCAGAAGAACCAACAUAUCUAGGAAAAAAGUUCGUAUUCCCAGCUGCUAAACUAAAUGAACUCAAACUCAGAGUUUCUCAAAACUCCAUGAUCCCACAUUUAGAAUUGCCUCAGGGCACAAGAGAAGUUUACUUUACAGUUUACACAAGAAGUAGCAAACAACACACAAGAUUACAAGUUUCUCUGCUCUCCUAAAGUUACUGCAACUUUUAGAAUGAAAAAGUUCCUGCUCAACAAGACCAAAUUGCUAUUUCUUCUCCUGCUCUCCAGCUGCUGCUCAACAAAACCAAAAAGCUGCUGCUCAAUAAGACCAAAGCUGCUCUCCAGUCUCUACUUCAUAUAUAAAAAUUAACAUUUCAAUAAUUUUUACAUGGGCAAAAUUAACAUCUCCAAUUAAUGUAUUUUAGACAAGAAUCUUCUCAUAUUCUCAUUAUAUAUAUUUUAAAUAUAACUAGUAGUAGUAAAUAUUUUUCAUGACAAAGCAAUGAAAAAUAUCUUAAAACGGUUAGUACGCCUGCCAUAUAUACUAGGACUACAUUCUAUCACAUGUAUUUACAACAAACAAACUCCAAAACUUUAAAAACAUGUUCAAGACAAGGAGUUAAAAAAAAGACUUUUCAUCAGCUCACAUCUGUUGAGGUAAACUUCAGCAAUCUGAAUACCACAAAAGUCAAAAGGUGUCGUUAAAAACCUUAGAGGAAAGGUAGAAAGUAAUAAGCUCUUCAUCAGUAGGAUUAACACUGUUAAGAACUGUAAUAAGUUCUGAUAGUUAAUCCUAUCAGUAAAGCAGGAUUACCAUUGUUAUGCAACAAGCAGGAUUAAUAUUGUUAGUUCAAUUAACAGUAAAUACACACUUAUAUACAACAAAUACUUGAAGCCUUGAUGGGUUAAAUUCGAAUUCUUACCAAAUAUAUUAAUAUUACACGUCAAUUACGGAAGGGUCUUUUCCAUUGCUGGCUAAAUCUGAAGAAAAAAAAUUAAAAUAAUGAGUCGUGCGAUAAAUAUAAGCAUAUCAACAACACUUAUAUACAACAAAAACAGUAUGAGUCACUGCAACAAGAAAAGAAAAGGAAUGAGAAUAAAGAUAUCAAGUUGUAAUGGACCGCAAAACAUUCCAUAUUGUCAGAAAAACUAUAAUUAGUACACAGUAUGUGAUUCAUUUGCAAUAUAAGUAUCAUCACUUGAAUAAACAAACAUCAGUCCAAGUGUUGGAAUAAAAAUUAUUGCUUUAUCACCAAUGGUUGAGUCUAACACCCUUAAAAAUCCAGCACUAACACCACCAGAAGCAUAUCUUUGUAAUUUACUUGUGUAAUUGUGUUGCUAUAUUUCAUGGUCAGUAUUACAAGGUAUUCACUUCAUCCUAGAGGACUUAAGUUCCGAGAUGAAGUAACAUAUGUUUCAUAAAAAGAAAAAAGAACAAGGGAUUCAUUGGUAUAUUUGUUGAUACAAAACUACAGAAUACUCAUGUAACACCAAGAUCAGCCAAUUAUUCCUACAUUCAAAAAGACAUGUCACUCUAAUAUUUCCAAAAACUUAGCCUAAGAAUAUAUAUGAUUGGCAUGUAUGAAACAAGAGUAACUCCUCUAUUUCAAGAGUAGUGAUCAGAAACUUCUACGCUAUCUGAAGAGGCUCUGAUUCUAGAGAUGAUUCACCAUCAUUAACCAAACAAAAUAAUUUUUUAAAAUUUAAUAAAUAUAAAAAAUCAUUCAGGAAUUGCAAUAUUAAGUUAAUGGUUCGAUUCUGCCAGCAACUUCCUCACAGAUAUCAGAAAAAGGAGCUUGGUUAUCCUCAUUAUGACCGCAAUUUUAGAAAAUCAAUAAAAAAACAACAAUAAGGCUGGUUGAAAAUAUUUAGCUAAUCAAAUUCGAUCGACCAUUGAAACUUACCAUAUGCUGACUGCUGCUCUAGCUAUGGCGAGAGGGAGAGGCGAGACGACGAGAGGGAGACCGAUGGCUGGUGGAAGUCGACGAAGACUAGUGUGGUGGCUGCUAGUUUAGGCGUUAGGGUUUCUAGGAAUUAGG